CUGGGUGGAUUAGUGGCGAACGGGUGAGUAACACGUGAGUAACCUGCCCUUAACUCUGGGAUAAGCCUGGGAAACUGGGUCUAAUACCGGAUAGGAGCGCCUACCGCAUGGUGGGUGUUGGAAAGAUUUAUCGGUUUUGGAUGGACUCGCGGCCUAUCAGCUUGUUGGUGAGGUAAUGGCUCACCAAGGCGACGACGGGUAGCCGGCCUGAGAGGGUGACCGGCCACACUGGGACUGAGACACGGCCCAGACUCCUACGGGAGGCAGCAGUGGGGAAUAUUGCACAAUGGGCGAAAGCCUGAUGCAGCGACGCCGCGUGAGGGAUGACGGCCUUCGGGUUGUAAACCUCUUUCAGUAGGGAAGAAGCGAAAGUGACGGUACCUGCAGAAGAAGCACCGGCUAACUACGUGCCAGCAGCCGCGGUAAUACGUAGGGUGCGAGCGUUAUCCGGAAUUAUUGGGCGUAAAGAGCUCGUAGGCGGUUUGUCGCGUCUGUCGUGAAAGUCCGGGGCUUAACCCCGGAUCUGCGGUGGGUACGGGCAGACUAGAGUGCAGUAGGGGAGACUGGAAUUCCUGGUGUAGCGGUGGAAUGCGCAGAUAUCAGGAGGAACACCGAUGGCGAAGGCAGGUCUCUGGGCUGUAACUGACGCUGAGGAGCGAAAGCAUGGGGAGCGAACAGGAUUAGAUACCCUGGUAGUCCAUGCCGUAAACGUUGGGCACUAGGUGUGGGGACCAUUCCACGGUUUCCGCGCCGCAGCUAACGCAUUAAGUGCCCCGCCUGGGGAGUACGGCCGCAAGGCUAAAACUCAAAGGAAUUGACGGGGGCCCGCACAAGCGGCGGAGCAUGCGGAUUAAUUCGAUGCAACGCGAAGAACCUUACCAAGGCUUGACAUGUUCUCGAUCGCCGUAGAGAUACGGUUUCCCCUUUGGGGCGGGUUCACAGGUGGUGCAUGGGUUGUCGUCAGCUCGUGUCGUGAGAUGUUGGGUUAAGUCCCGCAACGAGCGCAACCCUCGUUCCAUGUUGCCAGCACGUAAUGGUGGGGACUCAUGGGAGACUGCCGGGGUCAACUCGGAGGAAGGUGAGGACGACGUCAAAUCAUCAUGCCCCUUAUGUCUUGGGCUUCACGCAUGCUACAAUGGCCGGUACAAUGGGUUGCGAUACUGUGAGGUGGAGCUAAUCCCAAAAAGCCGGUCUCAGUUCGGAUUGGGGUCUGCAACUCGACCCCAUGAAGUCGGAGUCGCUAGUAAUCGCAGAUCAGCAACGCUGCGGUGAAUACGUUCCCGGGCCUUGUACACACCGCCCGUCAAGUCACGAAAGUUGGUAACACCCGAAGCCGGU
This is a ribosomal RNA of 1338 nucleotides. It matches the Rfam family "Bacterial small subunit ribosomal RNA", at positions 83 to 1431 of the family's 1533-position model.